GGGAAUGUGGCUUAGUGGUAGAGUGCUUGUCUAGCAUGCAUGAAGCCCCGGGUUCAAUUCCUCAGUACCA
This 70-nucleotide transfer RNA is filed under the name Dipodomys ordii (Ord's kangaroo rat). It matches the Rfam family "tRNA". Rfam says of the family: Transfer RNA (tRNA) molecules are approximately 80 nucleotides in length. Their secondary structure includes four short double-helical elements and three loops (D, anti-codon, and T loops). Lineage: Eukaryota; Metazoa; Chordata; Mammalia; Rodentia; Heteromyidae. The record is from Rfam by way of RNAcentral.